Penaeus monodon (black tiger shrimp) is the source of this 722-nucleotide long non-coding RNA. RefSeq lists it as uncharacterized. NCBI's taxonomy places the organism in Eukaryota, Metazoa, Arthropoda, Malacostraca, Decapoda, Penaeidae. The transcript has 2 exons. The record is from RefSeq and is a predicted model, not a curated record.
CGGUGUUCCGUCACUGCUGUCACUGAUUAAACGCUCCACAAACUGCUGUUGCAGAUGCUGUUGCUGCACUUGCAGACCUGACGGAAAUGAUGUAUUUGCGAAAUGAGGUCGGUGUUUCGUCAUUGCUGUCACUAGUUAAACGCUCCGGAAAAUGCUGUUGUGACUGCUGUUGCUGCCCUUGCAGUCCUGACGGAGAAGAUAUAAUAGCGAAAUGAGUUCUCUGUGCACCAUUCAAGUAAGUGCAAGUGCACUGAAAAUGAAAAGAAAGUUUUCGGAAAUGAAAUAAAACGAUGAAAAUUAUCUAAAUUUCAUGAAGAUGAAAAAGAUGAACACAAAUUAAUAAAAGUGUUCAAAAUUGUGGAUUUGGAAUUAAUAUAUUUCCAUGGUGAGGACAAAUGCCCAAUGAGUUUAUAGAUUUGUAAAAAUAGGAUUUUUUUUAUAUACUUUUCUGUGUCUUCAUUCUAUUUCACUCGUUUUCCUUUUAUUACUAUACCUGCCUUUUUACCUUUGCAUUUCCCUCGUUAGUCUUUUACUUCAUUAGUGCCUUACAGCUGUAGAAAUGUAAAACCUGUGAUUUUUUUUUUUUUUCAUUCUAAAAAUGUUCAGUUUGAUAAGUAAACUUGUAGGGAGGUGAACAAAUUCGACAAAGCAUAAUUUAUGUUUAUUAAUAAAAUUGUUUCUCUAUAUUCGCAAAAGGUCUUAGCAAUAAAUUGUCAGUUAUC